Molecule: long non-coding RNA, 371 nt
Filed under: Zostera marina
Lineage: Eukaryota; Viridiplantae; Streptophyta; Magnoliopsida; Alismatales; Zosteraceae
Description: long non-coding RNA (ZMAR_LNC005876)
Source: RNAcentral
UCUUUGAAACACUUCAAUUCGAUUUCAAUGCUAUCGAAGAAUCCUUCAAUCAAGCCUUGAAGAAUCAGGAAGCUAUUGCAAGCUCGAUAGAGUCAUCGUCUGAAGAGGAAUUGGAAAUCCAGGAAGAAACAUCUAAAGGUCCAGCAGCUAAAGGUCUUAGCGAGGAGGAAGACGGCGAGGAAGAAGGGAAAAACGACCUAUCAGAGAGAACCGUCUGUCAUCCAGGUUUGAUGAUAGUAUUAUGUGGUAAAUUGCAAUUUUUAUUAAUAAUUGUUUUACUUUUUUUAAAUUCAACACACACAUGUAAAUCCCUAUAUAAGGGCACCACAUGUAACUUUUUUAUUAUGAAAUAAAAAUCCAAACGUUUUCCC